CGCGUAGGCGGUUAUGCGAGUGUGAUGUGAAAGCCCUGGGCUCAACCUAGGAAGUGCAUCGCAAACGGCAUGACUGGAGUAUUGGAGAGGGUAGCGGAAUUUCCGGUGUAGCGGUGAAAUGCGUAGAGAUCGGAAGGAACGUCAAUGGCGAAGGCAGCUACCUGGCCAAAUACUGACGCUGAGGCGCGAAAGCGUGGGGAGCAAACA
Molecule: ribosomal RNA, 207 nt
Filed under: uncultured bacterium
Lineage: Bacteria
Description: partial 16S ribosomal RNA
Rfam family: Bacterial small subunit ribosomal RNA
Source: RNAcentral